UUAACUCGUUACUUCCCCUUGUUUAUUUUUUUCUCUCUAGUAUAUAUUUUUCAAAAAAGGAAGGAUGUCAAGGAGACCAAGAUCAUCACCAAGGGUGAAGGCAGACCAUUACAGGCCAACGGAGAUGACGAUGACCACCUUAAGAAAGAUGGAGGAGCGUGGUUUUCGAGCGACGCGGCGGCUCGAACACGGGUCGGAGUCAUAUAUCCAUGAUGCAACCUCCCCUUACUACUCUUGGCUCCUCCCUGGCUGGCUUGCUGAAGAGCGAGUUGUCGAAAGUGGACGUACCUAUAGGUAUUAUUAUGAUCCUGCUGGUCGACAGUAUCGAACCAAAUACGAAGUCUUGGAUCAAUGGGAGAAGCUGGGAAUUGUUGUUAUCGAAGACUAAGGACUCUUGAAGCAACUGAAUUUGUUGAAGUAUUGAAGAUCUAAGCGCUAAUGGCAUUAUCUUUCUUUUAUGUUUAAUUUGAACUACAUGAAGAUGUACCCAGAUUGAGCAAACAUUUAUUUCUCCUUUAUGCUUUACUUA
Beta vulgaris subsp. vulgaris (sugar beet) is the source of this 529-nucleotide long non-coding RNA. RefSeq lists it as uncharacterized. Lineage: Eukaryota; Viridiplantae; Streptophyta; Magnoliopsida; Caryophyllales; Amaranthaceae. The record is from RefSeq and is a predicted model, not a curated record. The transcript is spliced from 3 exons.